UUUGUUAAUGAGAAGAGUGCUUAGAAGCAGGAAGCUUGAUUUCUCUGUGCCUUGCUCAGAUGUUUUCACAUGUGCCACAAAGUGGUUGCGCAGCAGUGCCAUUCUUAUCUGAGCUAAAAAAAGAAUAGACUUCCCAGUAAGAGUCACAGAACAUCAUGUUCCUAAAACCUUCAUAAGAUUAAAAAGACAGCAACAAUUCUGUUUUUAAGAGAGGAAAAUAUUUAUGAGAAGCUUGCUUCUUGACCGAACGUUGUUCAGUUAUUUACCCUCCAGCACAUUGUAUAAGAAAGAAAUAAAGAGGGGGGAAAAAAGGACAGCACUGAGCCCUCAACUUAGUCAAGAUUCAAGAAGCUUAUCGAGUUAGAAGAAAAAGACUGACACAAGUGACAGGACAAAGAAGCAUACAUGGAAAUAGAAUGAAAAUUCAGAACAGAUGUCAGGACGCAUUCUUCAUUCUGAAUGUGCAGAGCGGUCAACCAGGCACAGAGAUACUGAUUUGGCAAUAGCCUGUACAGCAGAAGAAAACCUAUUGUGGGAAGAGAAGGAGCUUGGUGAGUGUAUGAAAAUGCAUUACAGGCUGCAGGCAAUUGCAGUACCAAUUGUUGACUACUUAAGAAUUUU
This 621-nucleotide long non-coding RNA is filed under the name Coturnix japonica (Japanese quail). Its description in RNAcentral is "lncRNA (ENSCJPG00005004761.1)". Lineage: Eukaryota; Metazoa; Chordata; Aves; Galliformes; Phasianidae. The record is from RNAcentral.